This 465-nucleotide ribosomal RNA is filed under the name Vreelandella stevensii. Its description in RNAcentral is "partial 16S ribosomal RNA". It matches the Rfam family "Bacterial small subunit ribosomal RNA", at positions 338 to 795 of the family's 1533-position model. Lineage: Bacteria; Pseudomonadati; Pseudomonadota; Gammaproteobacteria; Oceanospirillales; Halomonadaceae. The record is from RNAcentral.
CCUACGGGGGGCAGCAGUGGGGAAUAUUGGACAAUGGGCGAAAGCCUGAUCCAGCCAUGCCGCGUGUGUGAAGAAGGCCUUCGGGUUGUAAAGCACUUUCAGUGGGGAAGAAAGCCUUGGGGCUAAUACCCUCGAGGAAGGACAUCACCCACAGAAGAAGCACCGGCUAACUCCGUGCCAGCAGCCGCGGUAAUACGGAGGGUGCGAGCGUUAAUCGGAAUUACUGGGCGUAAAGCGCGCAUAGGCGGUCUGAUAAGCCGGUUGUGAAAGCCCCGGGCUCAACCUGGGAACGGCAUCCGGAACUGUCAGGCUAGAGUGCAGGAGAGGAAGGUAGAAUUCCCGGUGUAGCGGUGAAAUGCGUAGAGAUCGGGAGGAAUACCAGUGGCGAAGGCGGCCUUCUGGACUGACACUGACGCUGAGGUGCGAAAGCGUGGGUAGCAAACAGGAUUAGAUACCCGAGUAGUC